GUCGAGCGGAGCGAGGGUGCUUGCACCUUAGCUUAGCGGCGGACGGGUGAGUAAUGCUUAGGAAUCUGCCUAUUAGUGGGGGACAACAUUCCGAAAGGGAUGCUAAUACCGCAUACGCCCUACGGGGGAAAGCAGGGGAUCUUCGGACCUUGCGCUAAUAGAUGAGCCUAAGUCGGAUUAGCUAGUUGGUGGGGUAAAGGCCUACCAAGGCGACGAUCUGUAGCGGGUCUGAGAGGAUGAUCCGCCACACUGGGACUGAGACACGGCCCAGACUCCUACGGGAGGCAGCAGUGGGGAAUAUUGGACAAUGGGGGGAACCCUGAUCCAGCCAUGCCGCGUGUGUGAAGAAGGCCUUUUGGUUGUAAAGCACUUUAAGCGAGGAGGAGGCGCUCUAGGAUAAUACCCUAGAUGCGUGGACGUUACUCGCAGAAUAAGCACCGGCUAACUCUGUGCCAGCAGCCGCGGUAAUACAGAGGGUGCGAGCGUUAAUCGGAUUUACUGGGCGUAAAGCGCGCGUAGGUGGCUAAUUAAGUCAAAUGUGAAAUCCCCGAGCUUAACUUGGGAAUUGCAUUCGAUACUGGUUAGCUAGAGUAUGGGAGAGGAUGGUAGAAUUCCAGGUGUAGCGGUGAAAUGCGUAGAGAUCUGGAGGAAUACCGAUGGCGAAGGCAGC
This 670-nucleotide ribosomal RNA is filed under the name uncultured Acinetobacter sp. Its description in RNAcentral is "bacterial SSU rRNA". It matches the Rfam family "Bacterial small subunit ribosomal RNA", at positions 61 to 725 of the family's 1533-position model. The record is from RNAcentral. Lineage: Bacteria; Pseudomonadati; Pseudomonadota; Gammaproteobacteria; Moraxellales; Moraxellaceae.